CUCGGGAAACUGAGGAUAAACCGCGAUAGGUCAUCACUUCUGGAAUGGGUAAUGACUUAAAUCUAUAUGGCCCCUGGAUUGGACUGCGGCCGAUCAGGCUGUUGGUGAGGUAAUGGCCCACCAAACCUGUAACCGGUACGGGCUCUGAGAGGAGGAGCCCGGAGAUGGGCACUGAGAAAAGGGCCCAGGCCCUAUGGGGCGCAGCAGGCGCGAAACCUCUGCAAUAGGCGAAAGCCUGACAGGGUUACUCUGAGUGACUUUCGCCAAGAAAGUCUUUUGGCACCUCUAAAAAGGGUGCAGAAUAAGGGGUGGGCAAGUCUGGUGUCAGCCGCCGCGGUAAUACCAGCACCCCGAGUGGUCGGGACGAUUAUUGGGCCUAAAGCAUCCGUAGCCGGUUCUGCAAGUCCCCCGUUAAAUCCAGCUGCUCAACAGAUGGGCCGCGGAGGAUACUACAGAGCUAGGAGGCAGGAGAGGCAAGCGGUACUCAGUGGGUAGGGGUAAAAUCGUUGAUCCAUUGAAGACCACCAGUGGCGAAGGCGGCUUGCCAGAAUGCGCUCGACGGUGAGGGAUGAAAGCUGGGGGAGCAAACCGGAUUAGAUACCCGGGUAGUCCCAGCCGUAAACGAUGCAGACUCGGUGAUGGGUUGGCUUUGCGCUAACCCAGUGCCGCAGGGAAGCCGUUAAGUCUGCCGCCUGGGUAGUACGGUCGCAAGACUG
This 716-nucleotide ribosomal RNA is filed under the name uncultured crenarchaeote. RNAcentral's name for it is "bacterial SSU rRNA". It matches the Rfam family "Archaeal small subunit ribosomal RNA", at positions 131 to 851 of the family's 1478-position model. Lineage: Archaea; Thermoproteati; Thermoproteota. The record is from RNAcentral.